This 91-nucleotide ribosomal RNA is filed under the name uncultured bacterium. RNAcentral's name for it is "partial 16S ribosomal RNA". The record is from RNAcentral.
CCACAUCAUGAAAGCCGCUUGUACCCGAAGUCGCUGUGCCCAACUCGCAAGAGAGGCACGGUGCCGAAGGUAUGGGUGGUGAUUGGGAUCG